GUCUCCUACUCUCACACCGCAUUUUGCUGUCCUGCUGAAAGCUUUCCUUUCUGGUGCUUUUGGGGAGAGUCAGCUGUGCCUGAGAGGGAACUCUUCUCUCGGCCCUGCUGCCCCACUCCCAGGCUUCCGCAAAUGCCUCCUGCUUCUUUGAAGGGCUGGUGGGCAAAUGCUCCUUGGUUGCAACUCCUGGGAAGUCUGUGCACCCCACCCAGUUAAAUGCAGCUUUUCAAAGUUUUGUGGAAUGUCCAGUUGGUUUCUCCUUAGCUCAUCUGUGAGGAGCCCGGCAGCAUCACCGGAUGAAGUUCAGAAAACUGAUCAUUGACACCUGACAAGAACUGUGAGGGUUUUAAGAUUUUACCUAAGUUCAAGCUAACCCGUUAUCCAGCAACAGCGCAUGGAUGCUGGCAGAAGACAUGAGACACCUGGCUUGGAGACAAAGGACUAAAGGACUUUGUUACUCAGAAACAAGUAGGACACAGAACACUCACAAUUUCCUUUAUGAUUUCUUGAGCCUGAUAUCCCAUGAAGCACCAAGAGGGCCAGAUGAUUGACAGCUGUAUACCCGCUGAAAACUCUCAGUCCAGGAGAAGAAGGACUUGUGUUAUUUGGCUUUCCCAGGAAACUCCUACAUUCCUACUCAAGAUUAAAUCUAAAAACAGGUUUGUAGAAUAUUCACUCCAGCUCUAAGAGAUGGCAGAAGGCGCCAGGAGUCCAUUGCCAGGAAUGCACUUUCCUCAGUCUCGCAGAUGGAACUUGCAGACGGCAAAGCUAAGCAAAGGGCAGUGCAAGAGGUAAGGCAGUUCAAAGACGAAGGGGAAAGAUGCAUUUGUUUUCCAGUUUUUCUGAAAGCAACUGAGACAAGGAAGGAAAUGCUGCCCAAAAGUGAGCCCAGCUAGAAGACAAACGGCGACAUUUAAAGACGGAACGCAGGUGUGGUCCCAUGGCUGCCAUCCUGCUCUCCCUCCUGGGGAGACAGUUGUACAAUAGUCCAUCUCAGAGAGGGCACCGGACCAGUGACAGUGAUAAGAGCCUUCAAGAAGGGCUCUGGCACAUGGAAGCUCAGUUCAUCUGACUUUCAUUAGGGACCACAGGCUUGUGUGGCACAAACAGGUGCCAUUAGUUAGGUACAACCAGAUGCUUUUGAUGGUGCUUGAGAUGAACCACGAGCAUCUACAGAGACAAGUUGGUAACUUCUGACAAAAACUCCACCCAUAGCCAAGGAUGAUGCUAUUCCCAUGCAGGUCCCCAAUGCACAGGACACUGUAAAUAGCAACCAGGGUUCACCCUGUGCUCAACCAAACUUUAAUCAGACAAAAGCAUCAGUGUGAACAGCAGCUGAGGAGACAUGAGGAUUUUUGCGUCUAUGUGGUAACAGGUAUUGUGGAAUUAUAUGGAAAGCAAUGUAUUUAUCCAUAAUCCAACAUGGAGCAAAUUAAAAUACUGCCAAUAAACCCACUAAAACCAACAUUAUGUAAAAUGAAAACAGGGAGAAUUUCAAAGAAAUAAUGUCACAUAACUUCCAGUGUCCUUUAUUCAUUUAACACUACUGGUGUGUUGUUUGCUUUUUAAAAAAAGAAUCCAAUGCUUACUCUGCCUGUACUUUCACCACAUGCUGUGGACCCAAAGGUCAGAGACAAGACAGAAACACUACCCUAUUGAGACGACAUUCAUCUCCCCAUUCAUUCUUUUUUUUUUUUUAAAUCCUGUACUCUAAAUUUACAUGUUGGUAGAAGAAUAUUCAUUUUUGACACAUAAUCCUAUCAGUCAGCAACAAUGGAUGAUGAACAAGGAAAAUAACAGCAGAAAAGAACGCCGAUACAAAUGUAAGUUAUUUAUAUUGAUUCAAAUAUAAUUUUUCAAAGUUUUUUAAUUUUUGUCUUUUUGAGAUAGUGUCUCCCUCUGUCACCCAAGCUGGA
Long non-coding RNA from Chlorocebus sabaeus (green monkey), 1916 nucleotides. RefSeq lists it as uncharacterized. The record is from RefSeq and is a predicted model, not a curated record. Lineage: Eukaryota; Metazoa; Chordata; Mammalia; Primates; Cercopithecidae.